This 391-nucleotide ribosomal RNA is filed under the name uncultured bacterium. RNAcentral's name for it is "bacterial SSU rRNA". It matches the Rfam family "Bacterial small subunit ribosomal RNA", at positions 29 to 408 of the family's 1533-position model. The record is from RNAcentral.
AACGAACGCUGGCGGCGCGCCUAAUACAUGCAAGUCGAGCGAGAAGACGUAGCAAUACGUUUGUAAAGCGGCGAACGGGUGAGGAAUACAUGGGUAACCUACCCUCGAGUGGGGAAUAACUAGCCGAAAGGUUAGCUAAUACCGCGUACGCUCCUUGGACUUCGGUUCAGGGAGGAAAGCGAUACCGUGGGUAUCGCGCUCUUGGAUGGGCUCAUGUCCUAUCAGCUUGUUGGUGAGGUAACGGCUCACCAAGGCUUCGACGGGUAGCUGGUCUGAGAGGACAAUCAGCCACACUGGCACUGCGACACGGGCCAGACUCCUACGGGAGGCAGCAGUAAGGAAUAUUGCGCAAUGGGACGAAAGCCUGACGCAGCGACGCCGCGGUGGGGGA